AGAGACUCGACUGAAGUGAUGGAGGCCUCUGCAUAGUACCCUGUGAGCAAGCGAGAUUAGACUAAACCCAAGCCUCCUGCAGGAUGAGGAAGAGAGCAGUUGUGUGGCUUGCACUUUGGUGGAUAUCUAAGAAGAGGAGAGGCAGACGUGCUGCAAUAUGUCAAGAAGAAACUACAGGACUUCUCAUUGUGGCUCAGCUGGUAAG
Molecule: non-coding RNA, 205 nt
Organism: Sus scrofa (pig)
Lineage: Eukaryota; Metazoa; Chordata; Mammalia; Artiodactyla; Suidae
Source: RefSeq, a predicted model, not a curated record